This 25-nucleotide ribosomal RNA is filed under the name Capronia sp. 97002a. Its description in RNAcentral is "partial 18S ribosomal RNA". Lineage: Eukaryota; Fungi; Ascomycota; Eurotiomycetes; Chaetothyriales; Herpotrichiellaceae. The record is from RNAcentral.
GGGGUAACCUGCGGAAGGAUCAUUA